This 476-nucleotide ribosomal RNA is filed under the name uncultured bacterium. RNAcentral's name for it is "SSU rRNA". It matches the Rfam family "Bacterial small subunit ribosomal RNA", at positions 26 to 518 of the family's 1533-position model. The record is from RNAcentral.
AGAAUCAACGCUGGCGGCGUGCCUAACACAUGCAAGUCGAACGAGAAAGUGGAGCAAUCCAUGAGUAAAGUGGCGACCGGGUGAGUAACACGUGACUAACCUACCUUCAAGUGGGGGAUAACCUAGGGAAACCUGGGCUAAUACCGCAUAACAUCCUUAGAGUGGAAACUCCGGGGAUCAAAGGAGCAAUUCGCUGGAAGAGGGGGUCGCGGCUGAUUAGCUAGUUGGCGGGGUAAUGGCCCACCAAGGCUUUGAUCGGUAGCCGGCCUGAGAGGGCGCACGGCCACACUGGAACUGAAACACGGUCCAGACUCCUACGGGAGGCAGCAGUGGGGAAUUUUGCGCAAUGGGGGAAACCCUGACGCAGCAACGCCGCGUGGAGGAUGAAGUCCCUUGGGACGUAAACUCCUUUCGACCGGGACGAUAAUGACGGUACCGGUAGAAGAAGCCCCGGCUAACUUCGUGCCAGCAGCCGC